RNAcentral lists this small nuclear RNA (163 nucleotides) under Myotis davidii. Its description in RNAcentral is "U1 spliceosomal RNA". It matches the Rfam family "U1 spliceosomal RNA". Rfam says of the family: U1 is a small nuclear RNA (snRNA) component of the spliceosome (involved in pre-mRNA splicing). Its 5' end forms complementary base pairs with the 5' splice junction, thus defining the 5' donor site of an intron. Lineage: Eukaryota; Metazoa; Chordata; Mammalia; Chiroptera; Vespertilionidae. The record is from Rfam by way of RNAcentral.
AUGCUUACCUGGUAGGGGAGAUACAUGAUCACGAAGGUGGUUUUUCUAGGGUGAGGUUUAUCCAUUGCUCCCUGGAUGUGCUGACCCCUACAAUUUCCCCAAAUGUGGGAAACUCGACUGCAUAAUUUGUGGUAGUGGGGGACUGAGUUCGUGCUCUCCCCUA